This 446-nucleotide ribosomal RNA is filed under the name uncultured bacterium. Its description in RNAcentral is "partial 16S ribosomal RNA". It matches the Rfam family "Bacterial small subunit ribosomal RNA", at positions 338 to 795 of the family's 1533-position model. The record is from RNAcentral.
CCUACGGGAGGCAGCAGUAGGGAAUUUUCGGCAAUGGGGGGAACCCUGACCGAGCAACGCCGCGUGAACGAAGACGUUAUUCGUAAUGUAAAGUUCUUUUAACAGGGAAGAAAGAGAAAUUUGACGGUACCUGAAGAAUAAGCUCCGGCUAACUAGGUGCCAGCAGCCGCGGUAAUACGUAGGGGGCGAGCGUUAUAUGCAAUUAUUGGGCGUAAAGGGUGCGUAGAUGGCAUAGUAAGUCUGUUGUAAAAAUCGUGGGCUCAAUCCAGUAGGGCAAAAGAUACUGCAAAGCUAGAGUAUGACAGAGGCAAGUGGAACGACAUGUGUAGCGGUAAAAUGCGUAAAUAUAUGUCAGAACACCAGUGGCGAAGGCGGCUUGCCGGGUCGAUACUGACAUUGAGGCACGAAAGCGUGGGGAGCAAACAGGAUUAGAUACCCCUGUAGUC